GAUGAACGCUGGCGGCGUGCCUAAUACAUGCAAGUCGAGCGAACAGACGAGGAGCUUGCUCCUCUGACGUUAGCGGCGGACGGGUGAGUAACACGUGGAUAACCUACCUAUAAGACUGGGAUAACUUCGGGAAACCGGAGCUAAUACCGGAUAAUAUAUUGAACCGCAUGGUUCAAUAGUGAAAGACGGUUUUGCUGUCACUUAUAGAUGGAUCCGCGCCGCAUUAGCUAGUUGGUAAGGUAACGGCUUACCAAGGCGACGAUGCGUAGCCGACCUGAGAGGGUGAUCGGCCACACUGGAACUGAGGCACGGUCCAGACUCCUACGGGAGGCAGCAGUAGGGAAUCUUCCACAAUGGGCGAAAGCUUGACGGAGCGACGCCGCGUGAGUGAUGAAGGUCUUCGGAUCGUAAAACUCUGUUAUUAGGGAAGAACAAAUGUGUAAGUAACUAUGCACGUCUUGACGGUACCUAAUCAGAAAGCCACGGCUAACUACGUG
This 497-nucleotide ribosomal RNA is filed under the name uncultured bacterium. RNAcentral's name for it is "partial 16S ribosomal RNA". It matches the Rfam family "Bacterial small subunit ribosomal RNA", at positions 28 to 507 of the family's 1533-position model. The record is from RNAcentral.